Molecule: RNA transcript, 642 nt
Organism: Daucus carota subsp. sativus
Lineage: Eukaryota; Viridiplantae; Streptophyta; Magnoliopsida; Apiales; Apiaceae
Exons: 2
Source: RefSeq, a predicted model, not a curated record
GAUGAUCUUGUAAAAUAAAAUUCAGAGGCAAAAUUGAUAAUACAGGCGUUCCUAGAAAUUGGUCGGCACUGCAAGCUAGGAAGAUGGACCUGGUUUCAUCACCAACCAAAAUCCCACCCGCUCUUCUCAUCCCGGUUACUACUUGCUCAUCAUACAACACCAAUAAUCAUCGUAAUAGUAGUAAGCUUAUUUUGCCAAACACUGCCUUAACCAAUUUGACAAUCUCAUCGUCUGCUUCCAUAGCCACUAGUUUCAUCCACGUCUCCAAUCCCAAUGCUUGGUCAGGCACCUCCCGAGCCGCCACUCCAUCUCCGCCGUCGCCGCCUGAUCCUGAUAAACUCCCUACCCCACCCCCAGGUGUUCCAAUGACUCUGUCCAGAUUUAAAGACGUUGCACAGGUCUUUGUCGGUGUUCUGUUCUGGAUGGCAGUCUUCUUCUGGGCUUCUGCAUGGGAUGGAAGGGAUAAGCCGGACAAAGGAUCUCGAUUUCGAAGAUAACUCAGUAAACAUUUAUUAUGUAUAUACUAUGUAGUAUUGUAGUUACAGAAUUUGAUGGAACAUAUUUCUCCAGGAAUUAUGAUUUAUAUAGAUCUAUAUUCAUCCUAAAGAAUUCUUAAUCUAUUUGUUAUAUAUCUUUUGCACA